This 253-nucleotide ribosomal RNA is filed under the name uncultured prokaryote. RNAcentral describes it as "partial 16S ribosomal RNA". It matches the Rfam family "Bacterial small subunit ribosomal RNA", at positions 524 to 776 of the family's 1533-position model. The record is from RNAcentral.
UACGUAGGUGGCAAGCGUUGUCCGGAUUUACUGGGUGUAAAGGGCGUGUAGGCGGGUCUGCAAGUCAGAUGUGAAAUUUAUGGGCUUAACCCAUAAACUGCAUUUGAAACUGCAGGUCUUGAGUGAUGGAGAGGCAGGCGGAAUUCCUAGUGUAGCGGUGAAAUGCGUAGAUAUUAGGAGGAACACCAGUGGCGAAGGCGGCCUGCUGGACAUUAACUGACGCUGAUGCGCGAAAGCGUGGGGAGCAAACAGG